Molecule: small nucleolar RNA, 137 nt
Filed under: Nannospalax galili (Upper Galilee mountains blind mole rat)
Lineage: Eukaryota; Metazoa; Chordata; Mammalia; Rodentia; Spalacidae
Source: RNAcentral
AUGGCCCUCAAUCAAGGCCUACAGUUUGUUAAAGCUAUUGGUUUCAAGCAGGUGCCUAAAGAAAUGUCUUUCUAUGGUCUGUUGGCCAUUUCAGAAAUUUGGAAAUAUAAUGGUAGAUUGAUUAGAAAGAAACGUGA